GGGUGAGUAACACGUGAGUAACCUGCCCUUGACUUUGGAAUAACUUCAGGAAACUGGGGCUAAUACCGGAUAGGAGCUCCUGCUGCAUGGUGGGGGUUGGAAAGUUUCGGCGGCUGGGGAUGGACUCGCGGCUUAUCAGCUUGUUGGUGGGGUAGUGGCUUACCAAGGCUUUGACGGGUAGCCGGCCUGAGAGGGUGACCGGCCACAUUGGGACUGAGAUACGGCCCAG
This 229-nucleotide ribosomal RNA is filed under the name uncultured Actinomycetales bacterium. RNAcentral describes it as "partial 16S ribosomal RNA". It matches the Rfam family "Bacterial small subunit ribosomal RNA", at positions 104 to 334 of the family's 1533-position model. Lineage: Bacteria; Bacillati; Actinomycetota; Actinomycetes; Actinomycetales. The record is from RNAcentral.